RNAcentral lists this ribosomal RNA (292 nucleotides) under uncultured microorganism. RNAcentral's name for it is "partial 16S ribosomal RNA". It matches the Rfam family "Bacterial small subunit ribosomal RNA", at positions 505 to 765 of the family's 1533-position model. The record is from RNAcentral.
GUGCCAGCAGCCGCGGUAAUACGUAGGGCGCAAGCGUUAUCCGGAAUUAUUGGGCGUAAAGAGCUCGUAGGCGGUUUGUCGCGUCUGCUGUGAAAUCCGGAGGCUCAACCUCCGGCCUGGAGUGGGUACGGGCAGACUAGAGUGCGGUAGGGGAGAUUGGAAUUCCUGGUGUAGCGGUGGAAUGCGCAGAUAUCUGGAGGAACACCGAUGGCGAAGGCAGAUAUCAGGAGGAACACCGAUGGCGAAGGCAGAUCUCUGGGCCGUAACUGACGCUGAGGAGCGAAAGUAGUCC